GUCAUCCUUUUGAAGUUGUACUUAACUGUAGAGGAUUUGUAUUUUGUGUUUUACUUUUCCGGGCUAUGAUCUAGAUAAGAAAUUCUUUAUUUCGGGGAGGUCAUGACAUUGGUAAUUUGUGUGAAUGUUGUUCUGUCAAAUAUCUUUUGAAUUUCCUGUGAUCCUUUUGUUUUUUACAUGUAUUGUUUCGUAAUAUGAGCAUGACAACCUCACAAACUUAACUUCGGAGUGCUGACAACAGAGAGCGGUUGUAUAUUGAAAGACUGCAUUGACAAAUAUAUAUCCACAUUCAUACAUUCAGUACAUAAAAGUAAGAUGUGAUUCGAC
This 327-nucleotide long non-coding RNA is filed under the name Mytilus galloprovincialis (Mediterranean mussel). Lineage: Eukaryota; Metazoa; Mollusca; Bivalvia; Mytilida; Mytilidae. The record is from RNAcentral.